RNAcentral lists this ribosomal RNA (426 nucleotides) under uncultured prokaryote. RNAcentral's name for it is "bacterial SSU rRNA". It matches the Rfam family "Bacterial small subunit ribosomal RNA", at positions 355 to 774 of the family's 1533-position model. The record is from RNAcentral.
UGGGGAAUCUUGCGCAAUGGGCGAAAGCCUGACGCAGCAACGCCGCGUGAGCGAAGACGGCCUUCGGGUUGUAAAGCUCUGUCAGGAGGGACGAAGCCACUCGGGUGAACAGCCCAGAGGGUGACGGUACCUCCACAGGAAGCCCCGGCUAACUACGUGCCAGCAGCCGCGGUAAUACGUAGGGGGCGAGGGUUGUCCGGAAUCAUUGGGCGUAAAGCGCGUGUAGGCGGCCGACCAAGUCCGGUGUGAAAGCUCAGGGCUCAACCCUGAGUCUGCACUGGAAACUGGCCGGCUUGAGUCCGGAAGAGGAGACUGGAAUUCCUGGUGUAGCGGUGAAAUGCGCAGAUAUCAGGAAGAACACCGGUGGCGAAGGCGGGUCUCUGGGACGGUACUGACGCUGAGACGCGAAAGCGUGGGGAGCAAACA